UUAGCCAUAACAAGGCAGACACCAACAACCUCGCCCGCCAGAUUACUACGAGCAACAGCUUAAAACUCAAAGGACCUGACGGUACCCCACAUCAACCUAGAGGAGCCUGUCCCAUAACCGAUAACCCCCGAUAAACCUCACCACUCCUAGCCAACCAGUCUAUAUACCGCCGUCGCCAGCCUAUCUUGUGAGAGAAAUAGACAAAACAGCCCAACACUAAAACGACAGGUCGAAGUGUAACAAACGGAGCGGGCAAAGAUGGGCUACAUUUUCUAACUAGAACACACAGAGGGCACUAUGAAAACACACGCCCAAAGGCGGAUUUAGCAGUAAGAAAGAAACAGAGAGUCUGCCUGAACCCAAUGCUCUGGGGUACG
RNAcentral lists this ribosomal RNA (377 nucleotides) under Liotyphlops albirostris. RNAcentral describes it as "partial 12S ribosomal RNA". The stretch from base 41 to 377 matches the Rfam family "Bacterial small subunit ribosomal RNA", at positions 875 to 1383 of the family's 1533-position model. Lineage: Eukaryota; Metazoa; Chordata; Lepidosauria; Squamata; Anomalepididae. The record is from RNAcentral.